Molecule: transfer RNA, 73 nt
Organism: Aureimonas sp. Leaf460
Lineage: Bacteria; Pseudomonadati; Pseudomonadota; Alphaproteobacteria; Hyphomicrobiales; Aurantimonadaceae
Rfam family: tRNA
About the family: Transfer RNA (tRNA) molecules are approximately 80 nucleotides in length. Their secondary structure includes four short double-helical elements and three loops (D, anti-codon, and T loops).
Source: Rfam
GCCGCUUUAGCUCAGUUGGUAGAGCACGUCAUUCGUAAUGACGGGGUCAGGUGUUCGAGUCACCUAAGCGGCA